RNAcentral lists this ribosomal RNA (550 nucleotides) under uncultured bacterium. RNAcentral's name for it is "bacterial SSU rRNA". It matches the Rfam family "Bacterial small subunit ribosomal RNA", at positions 355 to 896 of the family's 1533-position model. The record is from RNAcentral.
UAGGGAAUCUUCGGCAAUGGGGGGAACCCUGACCGAGCAACGCCGCGUGAGUGAAGAAGGUUUUCGGAUCGUAAAGCUCUGUUGUUAAGGAAGAACGUGUGUGAGAGUGGAAAGUUCACACAGUGACGGUACUUAACCAGAAAGGGACGGCUAACUACGUGCCAGCAGCCGCGGUAACACGUAGGUCCCGAGCGUUGUCCGGAUUUAUUGGGCGUAAAGCGAGCGCAGGCGGUUAGAUAAGUCUGAAGUGAAAGGCAGUGGCUCAACCAUUGUAGGCUUUGGAAACUGUUUAACUUGAGUGCAGAAGGGGAGAGUGGAAUUCCAUGUGUAGCGGUGAAAUGCGUAGAUAUAUGGAGGAACACCGGUGGCGAAAGCGGCUCUCUGGUCUGUAACUGACGCUGAGGCUCGAAAGCGUGGGGAGCGAACAGGAUUAGAUACCCUGGUAGUCCACGCCGUAAACGAUGAGUGCUAGGUGUUAGGUCCUUUCCGGGACUUAGUGCCGCAGCUAACGCAUUAAGCACUCCGCCUGGGGAGUACGACCGCAAGGUUG